AUUGAACGCUGGCGGCAGGCCUAACACAUGCAAGUCGAGCGGAUGAAGGGAGCUUGCUCCUGGAUUCAGCGGCGGACGGGUGAGUAAUGCCUAGGAAUCUGCCUGGUAGUGGGGGAUAACGUCCGGAAACGGGCGCUAAUACCGCAUACGUCCUGAGGGAGAAAGUGGGGGAUCUUCGGACCUCACGCUAUCAGAUGAGCCUAGGUCGGAUUAGCUAGUUGGUGGGGUAAAGGCCUACCAAGGCGACGAUCCGUAACUGGUCUGAGAGGAUGAUCAGUCACACUGGAACUGAGACACGGUCCAGACUCCUACGGGAGGCAGCAGUGGGGAAUAUUGGACAAUGGGCGAAAGCCUGAUCCAGCCAUGCCGCGUGUGCGAAGAAGGUCUUCGGAUUGUAAAGCACUUUAAGUUGGGAGGAAGGGCAGUAAGUUAAUACCUUGCUGCUUUGACGUUACCAACAGAAUAAGCACCGGCUAACUUCGUG
RNAcentral lists this ribosomal RNA (484 nucleotides) under uncultured bacterium. RNAcentral's name for it is "partial 16S ribosomal RNA". It matches the Rfam family "Bacterial small subunit ribosomal RNA", at positions 30 to 507 of the family's 1533-position model. The record is from RNAcentral.